Molecule: long non-coding RNA, 762 nt
Organism: Zingiber officinale
Lineage: Eukaryota; Viridiplantae; Streptophyta; Magnoliopsida; Zingiberales; Zingiberaceae
Exons: 2
Source: RefSeq, a predicted model, not a curated record
GUCCAACAUUAACUGCCGCAGGACGCGUAAAUCUUCGCUGGCACUCGACGACGAGAACAAUAGUCGUUUGCUUCAAUUGGAAUCCAUUCCCGAUUCGCCUUCCUUCGCCCCUAAUCCGCGUGCGCUCCAAUCGGAUUAUAAAGCUGCAAUCUUGUGGGAUUUGGAGAUCAUUUCUGGAUCGACUGCAGCAUCUCUUUGAAUCAUCGGAAAAAGAGUUCGAUUCCCUCGAGGCAAAUGGGUCACCAUCACCACCACCACCACCAUGACGGAAUCAACCCAUAUGAGAAUCCCUUCUUGUUCUGCUGCUGCUGCCCAUGCUUGCUUGUGAGUUCCGUACUUAGAGGAAUUGGAAGCUGCAUCUUCGUGUCAUGUUACCCCAUCUUACGGUGCCUUGGCUUGGAGCGCGACCACCAUCACCCCCAUCACCAUCACUGUUGAUAUAUCUUGUGGCUUCUAAAUGUUGGAUGAACGUGACCUGUUGCUAAAGUUUCUCAAUUGUCGUGAUCUCUUAAAGCAAAAAAAAAAAACACAAAAAUCUUCUUGGAUGAACAUGGCCCCGUUGUUGAAGUUUCUCAGCUGAAAAAUAGGAAAUUUCUUGCAUGUUGAUUAUUGUGAGUAAAUAUCUACCAGAAAAUAUUUAGCACUUUAUAUGAGAUAUUGGUUUCCAUUCUUAACAAUACAAUGUUGUGUUCUUGAUGUUUUCUCACAGUUAGGAUGAAUAUAUACAAUCUACUAUUUGGUUCUAAUGACUUGUUCCUCUCA